GAAUAAGGGAUUGUUCACAAUUUCUGUGAUUUUCUGUCUCUGUGCACUGUGAAAUUGAUGGCUGCAUGUUCUUCUGGUUCUUCUCCCUCUAGUGCACGGACAGCAAGUGUCAUUGCUGACAUAGACACAGGGUUUUGCCAAACUGUUGGAUUCUGCUUGAUUCUGUGGGAAGGAAUCUGAUUUGAACCAUAGUGUUCUGUCUGGAAGGCAACUAAUGGAGCCCAGCCCCUAAAGCUCAGCAAAAUCCAGGAGAAACCUUCCUUCUCCAUUCAGGAAGUCAUUAUUGAAUGUUUCUUUACAUUAUGGAUUGUGAUACACUGAAAUGCUUGCACACUGCCUGUGUUUCUGGGAAGGGGUGUUGCUAAAUCAGAAUAAGGGAUUGUUCACAAUUUCUGUGAUUUUCUGUCUCUGUGCACUGUGAAAUUGAUGGCUGCAUGUUCUUCUGGUUCUUCUCCCUCUAGUGCAUGGACAGCAAGUCCCAUUAGUCCUCUAAUUCCUGAGGAUGACAACGCAGAGAGCCAGGCAUACCCACUCGGUUCCAGACCAGCCGAGGAUGCAGCUGAAGUCCUGGCAAAUGAGAAUGAAGAGGAGCCACAAGAUAUUGAAACGUAUGUGACAGAUAAAGAGACUCUCCAAAGUCUAAUCUCUGCUAGAUGGUAGAAAGAGGCUUCUGCCAAGCUUUAUGACAGUUCUACUCUGUAGAUGAAAUCUUAAUUGAAGGUAUCUUUCAGUAACACUUGAGGGACACUGAAGAGUCGGAAGUACGUAAAAGUAAUUGAAAUGAUUGUGCUGUUGGGCUGGAAUGUUGCUAAAUCAGAAUAAGGGAUGUUUUAUUUUCUGGCACUUCUGUAGCAGUGACCACUCAUGCACGGUGAAAUUAAUUGGCUGCAUGUUUUUCUGCAUCUGUUUUCUGUAGAACAAGGCCCUCUGGUAGUCUCCUCUGUGUUAUUUGCAGGGGUUGCUACUCACAGGUAAGAAUCCACAAGUUGUUUUUUCUGCUUUGUGGAAGGGGAGGGGAAAAAAGGGGAGCUGCACAACUCAGUUGUCUUAGGUGGGUGCUACAGGCAGCUGGAUGGCAGCACAGCCCUUGCUGGGAAGCUCCAAGUUCCUGCAGCCCAUGCCUGCAAGUCCCUCCUUGCUGGUGUCCAUAGGGGGAGAAGCUCUUGCCAGGAUGGCACUGUCAGAUCCAGAUGUUCCUUGGAAUUCUAGCAUUGACUGAUAGAGUUCUUUAUUGCCAGUGCCUGUUGUGGUUUCCUUUC
This 1259-nucleotide long non-coding RNA is filed under the name Cyanistes caeruleus (blue tit). RNAcentral's name for it is "lncRNA (ENSCCEG00000002784.1)". The record is from RNAcentral. Lineage: Eukaryota; Metazoa; Chordata; Aves; Passeriformes; Paridae.